This 511-nucleotide ribosomal RNA is filed under the name Phyllodytes sp. 4 BLB-2020. RNAcentral describes it as "partial 16S ribosomal RNA". The stretch from base 165 to 511 matches the Rfam family "Bacterial large subunit ribosomal RNA", at positions 569 to 1066 of the family's 2925-position model. The record is from RNAcentral. Lineage: Eukaryota; Metazoa; Chordata; Amphibia; Anura; Hylidae.
GCCUAAAAGUAUAGCCCACUAACAACUGAUGAACCUUCACACUUUAUCUUUUUAAUUAAAACAUUUUACAGGUUUAGUAAAGGAGAUUGAAAAACCUCUUAGGAGCAUAAAGGUACCGCAAGGGAAAAUUGAAAUAAAAAUGAAAUAAUUAUUAAGCACAAAAUAGUAGAGACUGACUCUCGUACCUUUUGCAUCAUGGUUUAACAAGUCUAAUCAAGCACAAUGACUUAUAGUUUGAUCUCCCGAAACUAAGUGAGCUACUUCAGGGCAGCUUAUUGAGCAAACCCGUCUCUGUUGCAAAAGAGUGGCAAGACCCUCAAGUAGAAGUGACAAGCCUAACGAACUUAGUGAUAGCUGGUUACUCAAGAAAAAGAUUUUAGUCCCACCUAAAGCUUUAAUAAUUUAACAAAAUAAAAUUUCAACUUUAGAGUAAUUCAAAUAGGGUACAGCCUAUUUGAAACAGGAUACAACCUAAACUAAUGGGUAACACUACAUUCACGUAAUCAAGUGG